UGGGGAAUAUUGCACAAUGGGCGCAAGCCUGAUGCAGCCAUGCCGCGUGUAUGAAGAAGGCCUUCGGGUUGUAAAGUACUUUCAGCGGGGAGGAAGGGAGUAAAGUUAAAACCUUUACUCAUUGACGUUACCCGCAGAAGAAGCACCGGCUAACUCCGUGCCAGCAGCCGCGGUAAUACGGAGGGUGCAAGCGUUAAUCGGAAUUACUGGGCGUAAAGCGCACGCAGGCGGUUUGUUAAGUCAGAUGUGAAAUCCCCGGGCUCAACCUGGGAACUGCAUCUGAUACUGGCAAGCUUGAGUCUCGUAGAGGGGGGUAGAAUUCCAGGUGUAGCGGUGAAAUGCGUAGAGAUCUGGAGGAAUACCGGUGGCGAAGGCGGCCCCCUGGACGAAGACUGACGCUCAGGUGCGAAAGCGUGGGGAGCAAACAGG
This 429-nucleotide ribosomal RNA is filed under the name Chloroflexota bacterium. Its description in RNAcentral is "Chloroflexi bacterium partial 16S ribosomal RNA". It matches the Rfam family "Bacterial small subunit ribosomal RNA", at positions 355 to 776 of the family's 1533-position model. The record is from RNAcentral. Lineage: Bacteria; Bacillati; Chloroflexota.